UACGGGGGGGGCAAGCGUUGUUCAGAAUUACUGGGCGUAAAGGGCUCGUAGGCGGCCAACUAAGUCAGACGUGAAAUCCCUCAGCUUAACUGGGGAACUGCGUCUGAUACUGGAUGGCUUGGAUUCGGGAGAGGGAUGCGGAAUUCCAGGUGUAGCGGUGAAAUGCGUAGAUAUCUGGAGGAACACCGGUGGCGAAGGCGGCAUCCUGGACCGAUAUUGACGCUGAGGAGCGAAAGCCAGGGGAGCAAACCGG
RNAcentral lists this ribosomal RNA (253 nucleotides) under uncultured bacterium. Its description in RNAcentral is "partial 16S ribosomal RNA". It matches the Rfam family "Bacterial small subunit ribosomal RNA", at positions 524 to 776 of the family's 1533-position model. The record is from RNAcentral.